UCUCAGAUAUUAAUGAAAAAAAGGAAAGUUCUACCAUGAUAAUUCUCUAUAGCUGUCUUACUGGUCUUUUGGGAAUACUUGGAUUUUCACUUUCCAUCUAUCUCUGGAGGUUCUGUGGAAGCAGCAAAAGAAAAAUCCCUGCAACUACAAAUAUAGAAACAGUUUCAGAACAAACCAUCCAGGAAAAUGAUGUGGAACCAUAUGCCAUCUUUGUGCAAGUGGAAAAU
Molecule: non-coding RNA, 227 nt
Organism: Thamnophis sirtalis
Lineage: Eukaryota; Metazoa; Chordata; Lepidosauria; Squamata; Natricidae
Source: RefSeq, a predicted model, not a curated record